Mangifera indica (mango) is the source of this 3110-nucleotide long non-coding RNA. RefSeq lists it as uncharacterized. The record is from RefSeq and is a predicted model, not a curated record. The transcript is spliced from 2 exons. Lineage: Eukaryota; Viridiplantae; Streptophyta; Magnoliopsida; Sapindales; Anacardiaceae.
UAAAACACCCAAACAGGGUAGAAAGGUAAAAGUCCUUUACUCUUUUCAGAUGGUACACUGUACAUUCUGCAUCCAGUCAGAAACUAGUCAUGUUAUGAAGAAGUCCUGACAAUAAGAUGCCUUACUUUGUAAAAGAUGAUGACCUUUAUCCCUGGGACACAAAUUUCAUGUCUGGUUUAUUAGUGGCCAAAAAAAAAAAGGUCUGGUGAAGGAGCUGCAGGUUGUGGAUGAUGAAGUGAAACGAAGAGAAGCUGCGAUGAAAUUAAGAUCACUUUUCGAAAGAAAAUUCAGAAGCGAGGGUCACUCUUGCUAUGCUAGGAGCCUAUAUUGCGCAGAAACAAAAACGCGAAAACGGAUAUCAAAGUUUUUUAUAUAAAUACUAAUUUUUUAUAAAAAAUAAAUUAAAAAAAAAAAAACCAACGGAUAAUACACCUUCAGUCAGAUUUGCAUAUGCCAUUAAAGAUAUGAUAUUUCUGUAACCCAAAUUGUUAAAACCAAUAGACUUUUCCCUAUUUCCAAACGCCAGCUUGUCCUUAGGAGACCAUGAAAACUCCAGUCUAUUCCACUGUUUCCCGUAUCCAUGGUGUCGAUAUCUUUGCUUUGAACCAUCAUCAUCAUCGUCUUGUAAUUCCUUCCUUGUUUCUUCUUAACUCUGGUCUUUUUAUAUAUUUUUUAACAUGAUGUUUAAAUUUUGGUGGUCAAAAGAAGCAGAGGGAGUUCAAUACGCCGCCGGUUGUGGUGAGUUAAGCACGUUGGAAAAAAUUGUAUCAGUGAGGAACUCAAAACACCAUCAGCCGACCAAAUUCAACACAUUACAGCACAACUUCGUUGAUAUGGAAAGAUUGAAGGAAAGAAUGUUAUCCAAGGUUCUGCGGCUGCGUGAUAGUGAAGGAGAGUAUUACAAAAUUAAGCUAUUAUUUAACUUUUUCAGGCAAAAAAGGUUAGUGAUGUAUCGAUCGGCAAGGACUGCUGCUGAAACAAGAACACUAUAUGAUAUUUUAACAUCAUGAUGUAACUCAGUUUGAUAUGAAGUUUUGAUGAAAUAUUUAUUUUUACUAUGAUUUGUUUUAUCUUCUUGAUGUAGGUUACUGGGAACACCAGCGGACCUGUGUUAAGAUUGUAACUUAGUUUUGUCUUGAAUAAUUCUCGAAAAUAUAAAAAAUAAAUGGGGAUGAUUUUGUGUCUGUUGAGCAUCUUUUGUUAGCAUUUCAUUCUGAUAAUAGGUUUGGACAACAACUAUUACAAAACCUUCAGCUUAGCAAGAAGGACGUGAAGGAGGCCAUCAAAGUUGUUUGUGGAAAUCAGAGAGUAAUGAAUCAAAGUAUGACUUCAAUUUCUUAUAUUUUGGGUUUUGUUUACUUGUUUUGUUAGGAAGAAAGCUGAUAAUAUUUUUUCAUCACUGUGUGACUACUUGAAUGCACUAUUUCUCAUAAUUAUCCUAAGUUUUAUAGCACCUUAGGUAUUACUGCCUUCACAUGUUAUUUCUUUCACAUUGUAGAUCCUGAAAGAAAAUAUGAGGCAUUGGCCAAAUAUGGUGCAUUCAGUUAGUCACGUAGUAAUGAAAAAAAAUAUUAUUAGCUUUCUUCCAAACUAAACAAGUAAACAAAACCCAAAAUAUAAGAAGUUGAAGUCAUGUUUCAAUCCGUUACUCUCUGACUUCCACGAACAGCUUUGAUGGCCUCCUUCUUGCUAAGCUAAAGGUUCUUUAGUAGUUGUUGUCCAAACCUCUUAUCAGAAUGAAAUGCCAACAAGAGAUACUCAAUAGACACAAAAUCAUCCCCAUUUAUUUUUUGUAUUUUCGAGAAUUAUUGAAGACGGAACUAAGAUGCAAUCUUAAUACAGGUCUGUUGGCGUUGCCAAUACCCUACAACGACAAGAUAAAAGAAAUCACAGUUACAAAAGUGACAAACACAAUAAAAAUAAGUAUUUCAUCAAAACUUCAUAUCAAACACCUUUGGUUGUUAGGUUAUAAAUUCAUCUGUAGCCUGCAAAACUGAGGUAUUGUCAAUCCCUGCCUUGGUGAAUAUUCUUUGAACCAAACCAUCAUUUUGCUCCAAAAGGGCCUUCAUCAAAUGUUCAGAUUCCACCACUUGUUGAUUGCUAACUCUCGUCUUAUACAAUUAUUGCUUGGCAUUUGUUCUCCUUGUGGAAUCUUUGCAUUUUAUGAGAUGGUGGCCUUUUGUGAAUGAAUUUCUUUUAGGGGCUACAAUUGGUGCAAUAGUUGUUGGGAAUUUGUUGAAACCAGUCGUGGUGAGCUCCAGUGUAGAAGAACUACAUUGAAUGAGUACAAGAAAUACAUUGAAAAGGAUCCUGCACUUGAGUGCAGAUUUCAACAGGUUUUUUGUGGUCAACCAUUUGUUGAAGACAUGAUAUCUAUUCUUUCUGGGUUGCAUGAACGUUAUGAGUUACAUCAUGGUGUUAAAUAUCAGAUAGUGCUCUUGUUUCAAUAGCAGUUCUUAUAUGAGUUACAUCAUAGUGUUAAAAUAUCAGAUAGUGUUCUUGUUUCAGUAGCAGUUUUUGCCAAUUGAUACAUCAUAGAACGUUUUGUCUGACAAAGAUGAACCGAUUGAAAGACAAGCUCAAACAAAAGAACAUUGAUCUCCACUACACAAAAGAAGUUGUUGAGCUUUUGGGUAUGUUAGGCUUUGGCCAGACCUUUGGGGCAAGGCCGGUUAAGAGGAUGAUAGAGCAGUUGGUUGAGAAUGAAAUUGGAAUGGGGGUGUUUAGACGAGAUUUUAAAGAGGAAGACUGGGUUGUUGUCGAUUUCAAUGAUUCGCCAUCGGCCAAAGACCGUCCUGCCCAAAACAGAUUGUGCAUCAAGAAAUUGGUCAGUUAGUAGUACAAUUAAGUAUUAGUGCAAUGGGCAGACAAAUUUCAGAAUGUUGUGAAUCUGUAGCUAAGUAUGGCUGCAAUAAAAUUGAUGUAUAGUUAUGUAAUUAAGUAAUUUUGAAUUAAAAAGAAAAUAAUAUCAAAUUAUAUAAUUAUACAUUAGUGAUUGUAUCCAUUGUUAGUCAUUGUAUUACUCAGUUAUUAGACUAGGGUUGUGCAUGAGUUGAGUUGUAGUUCAGUCUGAUUAUUGUUAACUUAAAGUUCUAACGGUUUGGGUUUGA